This 12489-nucleotide long non-coding RNA is filed under the name Citrus maxima (pomelo). Its description in RNAcentral is "long non-coding RNA (CMAX_LNC000036)". Lineage: Eukaryota; Viridiplantae; Streptophyta; Magnoliopsida; Sapindales; Rutaceae. The record is from RNAcentral.
UGGUUACAUUAUUCCGCAGCAAAAUUAAGAAAAUUCAUCAGAAUAAUCAGUGAGAGCACGUUUCCGGAGGGGAGAAAAAAAAAAGGAGGAAAAAACAGUUAAAGCAAGCGUACUAAAAUUGAAGCCAUCAACAUUUAGCUGAUCACUAAUUAGUCGAUCUCAGUAUUUGGUUUCGUAUUUUCGCAUAGCAAUUGGCGUAUCUCUCUCUCUCUCUCUCUCUCUCUGUUGUUGAAUUUAAGAAGGUCGAAGAAGAGAUGAUUACUCGGUCUAAACUGGUUGAGCAACUGAGGGACUUCCAGAUCCGAUCUCAACACAAGUGUCCUGCUCUCACCGUCUUCUCUCCUAAGCCAUUUCUCUCUUCCCGGUAUUUCUCUCACCUUUUUGUUUUUUUGAAUGAGCUAAAUUUGCAAAUUCUGCUGAUUUAUUUAUUUAUUUAUCUUUUUAUGCUUUAAAUUUAUUUUUCAUUCAUUUUUUUCAGUUAAUGGAACAAUUAGCAUUUUUCUAACUCUAGUACGAACUAGUUAUGGUUAGUGUUACAAGUGGAGUAGAUGUGGAGAUGUCAAAUUAGCUUGUUCCAUAGUUGUGUGUGGAGGUCAAAUGGUUGAAAUUUCGUGAUAGCUACAAAGUUUUGUGGUUUUGAGAUUUGGAAACUGUCUGUUUCUGCCUGUAUUUACUGUCGCAACGGCACAAAUAUUGCGAUUUGGAUGCGUGCUUUCCGGCAUUAGCAAAAUUGAAUUUAAUGUAGCUUGUGAUGAAUUUUCACAUUUAGGAUCAUUGAACGGAUUUUUGACUUAAUUUGCUUUUCUUUUUUUUGUGGUGUGUAGAAAAAAGAUGAAAUUGCGAUUAACAGUGAGGAUCGUAAACUAUAUUUGCACUGCUUGAAGGAUCCAUGCUACAGAACGCAAAUAGUUUGAAAUAGGUCCAUAGAUAAGUUUAUUUGAGUCUUUUUUUUUCCUAAACUCUGAUUCAUGUUUUAUCACUUAGUUUACUUAUAAGAAUUUGACCUCAUUUGCUGCCAUGUUAAAUCUAAGAAGUUGCAUAUCUCCUCCAUUCAAUUACUUUCGUUGGUAACGUGGGUCACUUAUGGACUGACUUACAUUUCAAUGGAGCUGAGCUAGAUUCUUAACUGGUAUCCUAAUAUGCUCCAGCAUAUUGGAAGCACGUAAAUUCCAAAAGAAUUGAGCUGACUUUGCCCAGCUCAGGUACAGAUUCAAGGAAUUUUGGACUCGAAUAAUCCAUACACGUUUUUCCAUGAGGAUUAAGAUUAGGUUGAGGUGAGUGUAUAUCUUCACAGGCAGUUAACAGUGGUGCAACAAUUGUAGCGGGUAUAGGACACAAAUUUCACAAUUUUAGGGAAAAGAUUCCUUUAUUUGCAUCCCCUCCAGCUGUAAGUCAAAGAAAUUGGAUAAUUGCCUAGUUCCUGUGUUGGCCUGUAAAAAAGUAAUGCAAUGGGCCUAUGCCCCCGUCCCAUCCUUUCAGACUCUAUCACCAAUCUGUCUUGGCUGCAGGCUUAUCAGUUCUCUGCUUGUUAGUAGUUGCCAUUCUUAUGUGUUGAGGAAGCCUUUAAUUGCCAGUUAUGAAAAAUAGUUUACUGAAACGUUGGUGAUUAAGUGGUCUAGUUUAUUCACUGAAACUGCUUGGUGUAGGCAAUCCCAUUUUCUACACUAUAUUGAGGUAUGGGUUUCACAUAUGCCUCCAGAAAAACUUAAAAUGUUGGAGAAGGCUUAUCUAAUUCUUAACAUAAUACUUAAUUUUAAAUGGAAGGCCCAACAAUAAUAUUGGAGCUCUAACCAGUGCUUCGAAUCCUGGCCCUUUUCCAUUUGAGCAAUAUGUUUAGAUGAAUUUGUCAAAUUGGGUGAGGGAAUGGGAUAGCGGAAGCGAAUUGAUAGGGUAGAUAAACACUAGAUAUUGUUCUAGCACGGGUCUAAGCCAACGCGAUUAGAUUAUGGUCUAAUCGAGGUGUGAUUAGAUCUUAUUCUAAUCUAAAUGACUCAAUGAGAUUUUAAUAACGCUUUAUGUGAGAUUAGAUGACUCUCUAAUCCAAACGACUUUACAAGAGAGAUUGUUGAUAGAUAAUCCCAAAGGGAAUUCUAAAAGUUAUGAAAUAAUAACAAGACCUCCCUGUUUAUAAUAGAGUAAACCUACUUCCCCAAGUUAACUUAAAAAGAGAAACUAAAUUACAAUUAUAAUAGAAAUAAAAAACUAAAACACAUACUCUAAUUGACUCGAAUUAAAAUAGAAACUAUCAAAAGAUCUAAAAUAACAAAAUCCUAAAGUCCUAAAAUAACGUCCUCCAUCAUUGGGUAUCUUUGUAAAGAAUGCUAUCCCAAACACCGUAAAGAGAAGAUAGUGUUUAAGACAUCAUAGAUGGAUAAGUACUCCCAACAUUGAAAGCAUCAUCUGAACUUUCAUUGUUAUUUCAAACAGAAGUGACUCCUGCUUGAUUGAGACCUGAAUCACUUCUAUCAGAUUUAUCCUUUUGAUUAGAGAUGAUCCAGUGGACAGCUCCAACGACAUUCUGCAUGCAUAAUUUUACAUCAAAUCCAUUAGGUAUUAUUGGAAGCACAGCAGUGAGGCAAAUGUGGAAAAAGGAGGGGGGGGCGGGUGUUUGUAGGAUUGAUUCAAAGCGAACAAAUGUACUAGUUUUGAUGGAUUUGUAGGAUACUAAGCUGCUUCAUGAUAGUCUUGAAGUACAAACUUUACAUCUUUUUAUUUUAAUGCCUUUGAAAAAAUUGAAACUUGGAACCUACCCCAAAUUUUCAGAUGCCAUCCUGUGCUGCUGUGCUACUGAAAAUUUUGGUUAUUCUUCUUUUAUUUUUAGGAAAAUAUAAGUUUCUUUGUGAAUACUGCUUCUCUGACUUCAUGAAUUUUAGUUCAUCAUUGGAAACGUUCAUGAUAGCUGUAUCUGUAUCAAUUUGUGGCUGUCUCAUUUAAAUUUUUGAGUUAUAAUGCACAUCAUUGUAUGAUUAUGCCAUUAUCAAAUGAGAAAGACUUUAUCGGCUUCAUGCAGGGUUGAUGUUGCUGUAGCUAUCUUUUGGGCCACAUUGUUUAGCAUGCUUGUUGUAUCAUCCUACGUGACAUUUUACUUGCGGCACUUCUGGCUUUCGCUCUUCAUUUUAGGCCUUAGUAUUUUACUUCCCAUACGCCUAAGAAGUUUUAGGCAGGCAGUUGCCAGGAAGAGGGAGAGGAGAUUAUUAUUACCUUUAUCCAUGUGAACUCUCCACAGUAAUAAAGUACUUGCAGCUUUUUGACCAGCUAACUAGGGCUCACUACUCACCCUUCACUCAUUUGGCUUAUACUAGACAUUGAACUAUGUGAGGUUUGAAGUACUGAAUUUGGUCAACAGGGCCCUCAAUUGCCUCUCUGUUGGAUGGUACAGUUCCUUCAUACUUCUUCAGCAUACACAGCAUGAGAAUUGCUAAAUACAUACUUUAUUUACAUCUAUACACCAUAGAUUUGAGUGAGUAAAGAGGCAACUGCCUGUUAAUUUUUCUCGUCUUCAAAUAGUGAUUUGAAUUCAGGUUCAAGAAAUUUUCUACUAAUAUUCUGCAGAUUGGGCUUUCUUUUUCUUCAUUUUUUAGAUGGACAUGUAACAGGUUAGCACUAGCUGGUUAGGUAUAAAAUCUUAAACCCUUGUCAUGAUCAGGGAGAGAGAGGGAGAGAGAGGAUGAACACUGAAUGAUAUGUGGAUCAUCCAGGAAGAUUGGUAGGAUUUUGCUCUUUAAAUGGUGAAGCAUUUUCUUUUAUUUUCUAUAUUUCCUUUUUGCUAUCUGUUGACUGUUGAUGUGGGAAGUUGAAGUCCAUGAUUCUUGCUUUUGUAGCUUCAUCUUUCUAGUAAGGGAAAUACAAAGGCAGUACAUUGUCAAAUCUAGAAGUGUAGUUGCUUAAUUAUACUUCUUGUACAUUUGUCUCAUAGAUAAAUAAAAAUAUCCAUCUUCAGUCACGUAGUUCCUACUCGAAAAAAAAGAAAUACAUAUAACCAGAUAAUUUCCAAACAACUAAUUAUUUGCCAGAUAAUUUCCAAACAAUCUUAUUUUGCAUAGAACUUUUAUUUUUCUUCAGUAACAAUGAGAAUCAAAUUUGAAUUAAAAUUCAUUGUUUUUGAAUUCAAUAAGUGAGCAACAUUGUAAGAUGACACCCUAUUGUACUAUGUAGUAGAAUAGAUAUUAGAUAGCAACAUUAUAAGAUGAUGCCUUAUUAAACUAUGCAGUAGAAUAGGUAGCAACAUUAUACGAUGACGCCUUAUUGUAUUGUGUGGUAGGCAUAUCUAUUCGUUAAAAUUUUGUUACUACUUGCUAGUCUCCGAUGUCAUUAUUGCACCAAAGAGAUUGUGUUUUCUGAUGACAACAAUUGCGACAUUGCUUUUGCUCAUGGCAUUUAAGUUGUUAAUAACUGGGAUUGAAAUAUAUUCCUUUGCUUUUUUAUAUUAUUGUCAGUAUAUAGACACCUAGGCCGUCAUGGGGGACCAUUGUGAUAUGUUUCCAUAAACAUUGCUCCAUCCUUUUUUCCACAAGUUAUAAUCAGCAAAAGAAGAAGAAUAGUAAGAGAUUUAAUUUACCUGAUGGUAAGCAUGUAUUUGAGGGACAAAUUACUAAUUUAAUAAACGAGUGAAUGGCCACUCAGAUGCAUGCCUUCCAAAUGAAUAUGAUAGCCAGUUAUCCGUUUGCUUCUGAAUCUCAAAGAUCUAAUGUCCAUAAACCUUCACGCACAGUUUCUGUUUUCUGAUUCUGUUAUUUUACUUAGAAGGUUGAGUCAGUUAGAAGAUUUCUAAUGGCUAUUUCAAGCUUUUUAGCUGCAUUACUUUGUUAGAAACUCUUUUCUGAUCUUUGAAUCCGCCUGCUCAAUUACUAAAGCUUUUCUGGAAGCUGUUUGAUAGAUUUUCCUAUUGGACUUAUAUGUGCCAACUGAUUUCCGACGAUUUGAUUAUGCAAAAUAUAGCUGCAAUUAAGGAAGAAGCUGUUGCAUACUUUAAACUAUGCUAUCUAUGAGCUUUUAACCAUGUAAUUACAGCAUAAUACUUUGGCUUAUCCCGAUAGAAUUCAUAAGCUGUUGAUGAUGCAUGUUAAUCGUGCAUGGCACUUCUUUUGGUGACAAAAAGAGGGUAACUAGUGCGCCAGAAAGUACCUUUAAGAGACGUGCUUUCUUUAUGAAGUCCAGUUUUGGCACUGGAGAAGAGAAUUGUUGAUCUAAUUCUCGUGUGGUCUAUUUGCCUUUUUAUUACAAUUAAGAAUUGGUCGAUGUCAAGAAACAUGCACAACACUUUUCUUUAGGAGCUUUAUAUGUUAAUGUAAUAUUUCUUGCAAUUUAGCUGUCAUGAAUACUCAGUGACGCUUGUUAAAAAAGCCAAAAUUCUCGGCCAACUAAGUGAAGUCUCGUCCACUAAGCCUGAAUUAUUUAUUAUAGAUUAUCAACAAGCUUUUAAAUUACAUUAGCUUAAUGCGAUUAUGGGAACCUCUGAUUGAUAUAGCUCGUCAUUGAUUAAGCAUGAUUCCAACUAAUGCCAAAUGUUGUCUUCGUCCCAAGAAAUUCUCUCUCACCUGAUUCAUGAAUCUGAGCCGUCAAUCGAUGAACGGGGACCGCAGGUUUUGAUUCGAUAGCAGCCGAAAGAUAAAAAGGUUGAACCCAGGUUGGCUCUUUUCCCAUCCAUUAGCUAAAGGGCUAGGUUCGUGAUGCUACUUUCUCACUGUGGUCAUAGUUACACUUUAGAUGUUUCUCUUUUGAAUGCUUAAAGUUGUUUUUAGAACGCCGAAAAUAAAGGCUUUACAAUUUUAAGUCUUUAAUUAAGAUCACAAAACCCAAGUCGAGUGCCCUGAUGCUGGCCGUAAACCCCAGCUCUUCUCUUGACAUUUAUCCCUACUAACUUUUGUAGGCCUAUGUUGCCUUGAUUAUGUGAUUCAUACUGGUUCCAUGCUAACCAUUCGUGCUUCUUCAAAGGUUAGUAGGGAUAAAUGUCAAGAUAUGUUGCCUUGAUUAUGUGAUUCAUACUGGCUCCAUGCUAACCAUUCGUGCUUCUUCAAAGGUUGCUUAAAUUUGAUUAUUGGUGCAUCCAAUGAAUCCUAUUGGUUCAAGUAUGCAUGAUGUAAACUGAUAUCUUUUCUUUGUUACAUUUUUUAGUGGGUGACAUGCCUUGAUUGGAUAUUAAACCGAAUUAUUACACUACACUUACACAAAAAAUCCAACUGGCUACUAGCAUCUCUCAUGGUGAAUUAUUGCAUAAAUGACUUUCUAGUAAUCCUCGAAAUCCUCUGUCUGGUGUUGCCCUUGCACACGAAUGGAAGCCAAAAGAACUUAUGGCAAUAAUAACGAUUAACGAAGAUGGGUUCACACUCUUUAACAAAGAGUCCGUGUCCUUGACAUUAUUAAAUCUUUCAAAUACAUUUCCUUUGUUAUGGAAAAUUGGCCCUUCAAAGCAACAAUCUUUUCGGUCGCUAAAUCAUCAUUUCGGAAGCGUAAUGAUUCCAUUGAGAGCCUUAAAAUCCAAAUCACUUUCAGUAUUCUUAAAUACAAUGGAGAUGAACAUGUCAAGCAAAAAGAAGUAAAAACUGGUCAAAGAUUAUGACCUGAAAGUAGAGCCCAAAGCAUGCCAUCAUAUGCCUGACAAUUUCUUGAUCAUCGUGCGGCCACGUUUUUUUGGCCCACAAACACGCGUGAACAAAUGAUAGAGUUCCUUCGGUUUUCACAAGCAUGACUUGGCCACCCCACUUAAAUUUCUCUUGUUGGAGGCAUGCUCAUUAUUAUUAUUUGUAUAAGAAUGUACAUACUUCAAAUUAAGAUCGUUCAAAAGAAAAUUUCGAAAAAAAAAAAAAGGCGAAAUUAUAUGUUUUCACAUUGUGAAAACAUUUCCUUGUGAACGCUAUAAUUUAAGUAAUUGGAUUCUUGAUUAAACACAGACAAUUUGUGCUGUAAGAAUUUAAUAAAAACUAUUUUUUUAUUUCAUUGUAAGGACAAUUGGUCAAUGCAAUGCAAACAGGCACGACGUGAGCUGAUCUUUUUGGAAGGGAUCAAGAUUCUCUUUUGAUAUGAUUUUCUCCAUGUGGUGAUUGGUUAUUAUUAAAAUAAAAAAAUAAAAAAAUUAAAUUUUAUUCAUACAUUAUUACUUAAAAAACACAUAACAUAAGACUUUUAAAAGUUCAUGAGAGCUCAUAACAGGGGAUUUUUUCUUUUUGGAAAGCCAUUGUAAUUAUCUUUUAUUCUUUUUCGUAACACGUGUAUUCGUCGUUUCUAAUAAGAGUAAUGAAUGACGUACCGGUUAACAAAAUAAACAAUAAAUGGCAUUUGCUACCCUACACUGAAAAUAUUAAUAAGUACAGUGGGCUCAGGGCUGCUGCGCAUUAAAUUGAACCCUCGCUCUCCACAGACCAUGAGUAAAGUCUCGUCAGUUAGUCCACACGUGCAGUCUUGCCACGUGGCAAGUACCUCAUAUCAAUUCAAUUUAAUUUAAUUUUGUAUCUGUGCCAUCAAUCAUUGGCAGUGUUGGCCACCCGCACGAGUGGUUAGGUGUGGCUUUGCGUCUGUUAGGCCAGCUAAUCUCACCCUCAUCACUCGCUAUUUUAUUCCUGGCUACGUAAUGUUAACGAACGGCGACCCAUUGGGCCACGUGUCUUUCUCAUUUGCCCUCUGUUUAUAGUAAUCAAUGUAGUCAGUCUGUCAAGUACACUUUCAGAUUUGUGCAGGCCAUCACGAAACCGGAAUUUGAACCCCUUACGAUAAAAAUUGCAUGUGAAAGCCAUUAAAGCAAUUUUUUAUUUUUCGGAAAGUGGGUAUAAGAAUUAUAUCAGAAACAUUUUUUUUAGAACAAAUUAGAAUAAAACUCUAGUUGAAUUUUUAUGCGGUAAUUUGUUCUUCUCGUUGAUACAGUAACAAGUUUUCUCUGCAUAAAUAGCUUCUCUCAAUCUCUCUAUCUUUUGAAAGCAUGUGGAAAUGGUGAAGCUUGGAAUUAUAAGUUGGCAGAUGAGCAUUUACGUGAAGGGCAAUAAUGCACGCACGUGGAUUGGAAUUAAAAGGAUGACUCAUUAAAUAAAUUUAUUUUUUUCUUGUUCGGUGUAUGCGAGAAAUAGAGAGCGCCACUCUUCAUCUUUAAAAAAACAAUUAUAACAAAUAGGACCCCAACGGCAUCACGGGUCUGUCCUUCUCACCGUCCCUUUCUUUUACUUCAAAGUUCAAAUUAUGAAAAACGAGCCACUAAAACAAGAUUUUGCUUUGACAGCAUGGUAUGCUUGAUGUGGGUGCUUGUUACUUCAGCUUGUUAGUUAAAUAAGUAAAAUAUUUUCAGAUGAUAUCAAAGUUCUCAGCAUUAUGUAAUAUUUGCACAAAAAAUUUAAAAAAAAAAACAGAGAAAUGUGUUAUUAUAUUCCUAAUGUGGUGGAGUCAAUAUUUCCUCUAUAGCAAGAUAACUGUGAUGUAUGAUAGUUUUGCAAGUAUUGUAAAUUUUUUUUUUUAAUUUUAGUAGUAUUUGAGAUUAAAUAAUAAUUUUUCCUAGAUUUUAUUAAAUUUUUUUUUGUCUGAACCACAAGGUGGUCCUGAGUGGGCCCCAACUGUGGGAAUUAUUUUUAACCUCGUACCACAACCCAGACUAAUCCCCGCUCACACCAGAUCGGCUCACAGCGAGUUGACUCGUAAGGGAUAAAGUGCUGAAUCACUCACACCAACCAACUUUAAUUUAUUAAAUUAUUAUUUUAAUAUAAUUAAGACGGUGUUUGGAUUUGUUUUAAUUAUUUGACGGUCUAGACUCUGGCAUUCAAAAGUGGCUGGAACACUUUUAAGAAUAAAUUAUUUAAAAAUAUAAUCCUUAAAUAAUCUAUUUUUUUUAUACUAAACAUCAAAAGUAAUUGUGAUUAUUUCAUAGUUAGAUUUUGUAAAGUACAAUAGCUAAAAUACCCUUCAUAAAAUUAUUUAUUCUUCAAAAUACUUUGACAAGUAGCAAAUAAAUAGUAAUAAGUAUUAUAAAAAAUAAUAAAUCAAAAGAGCUCAUAAUAUUUUGUCAGUGUCGGUUUGAAGUGUUGAAUCGAUCAUUGAGAAAGGAAGAUUUCAGCGACACUAGUGGUACUGUCAAACUCAAAUUUUUGUCAUUUGUGGUUCAACAAGUAAAAUAUUUUGAGAUUAUAUCAAAGGUCUCAUCAUUAUAUAAUAUUUAAAUUAAAAAGAAAAAACAAACAAAUGUACUAUAUGUGGACUAUUUGAACCCACCAAAUUUCUUCUUAUACCCAAAUUAAAAAAUAAAUUCACUAUUAAAAAUUUCAAAUUUAAAAAAAUCAAAAUUACUCUUCACUAAUUUCUUUCUCUCUUCAUCUUACAAUUGAAUAUUCUCCAUCUACUUUUACAUUUUACAAACUAAAACUCAAUUUCACUCCUUUUUCAAUUCUUUUUUUGGCUUUCCUUAGUAUAUCAUAAUCUAUAUUUCAUAUUUUUUUAUAUUUAAGUAUAUUUUCUCUUGAUAUUCAUUACAUUUUGGGUUUGGUAAAACUUAAUUUAUUGAUAUUGAUUAACUUUCAUACCUAAUAAAAAUUUACUGAUGUUCAUUUUUAAAUAGUAGGUUUUGUCACUCUUUAUUAGCAAUACUAAUUACUUGUAGCUAAAGGAAUAUAUAUGAAUAAAUUGAUGAAAAUUUAUGGAAUUGGGAAGAGAAGGAGAAAAAAAGGAUCAAUUUAGUAAAUUUUUUAAAAUUAUUUAGAUAAUAAAAUUCUUAAAUAAAAAGAGGGUGUAGAGAAAAAAUUAAUAGGUUAAAAUAUUCCCUCUUAAACCAGAUAAUUGUGACGUAUGAUAAUAUUGUUUUUUUUUUUUAUUUAGCCGGCGCCGGAGACUAUCACCGGGAGAGGGAGAAUCCGGCGACACCACCGGUGCUCUCAGACUCAGAUUUUUGUGAUUUGCAUCAUUUUGGCACAUUCUCCAGCAACAGAUCAAUAUGCAAGCCCACUUGCCUUUCUAACAGUCUUUGUAACCUUGAUACUUUUUCGUACAUUUGACUAAUAGAAUUCUCCUCUUUAAUUAAUUUCUCCUGCGGGUUAUCAGUUAUCUAUCUAAACCUCAUGCUUACACAUGGUUUGGACUAUAGCAUCAUAUGUCCUCCCUGCUAAGAGAUAUGAUGUCGAUUGGCCAGAAUGAUACCUAACCUGACAGAUGACAUUGCGUCAAAACAGCUAAAUGCGUUUUAGCAUCAAAAAGGUGGUUCAAUUAAUCAUAUUUUCUGGUGAUCCGUUAGCCUAUUGCGUGAAGUUAGCUGAUGCAUGCACUUUCAGAAUUUGAAAUUAGCAGCUGGCAAGAGGCAUGCAUCUAUGGAGACUGAACUUGCCAGCAGCCAGAGGGGUCAUUCUGCACAAAAAGCGUGAGUGAAGCCAUCCUCACACUCAAUGUGCUGUGCUGUUCUUUUUUCUUCUUUUUUGCCCUUUUUUGCUUUCUUUCAACAGUUUGGACUGCUGCACAAGGACAACUCCAAACCGUGGAAAAAGACUAACAACCCUUUCGAAUUAAAAAAGGCUACUUGUCGAGCUGCGAUUUUGCUUUCAAAGUUGAAAAUGGCAGCAUUUCUGUUAGAUUAACUUGGAAGCCGGUGCUCAUUUUUCUCGUAUGAUAUUUCCCAAUUAGUGGGGCCUUUUAUAUGGGGUGUAUACAUAUGCCUUAUUAGAUUUUUCCAUGAUUAGAACAGCAGAAAUGAGUAUGUUGAUCAAUAAUAGUAGCUAACGGUCCUGAUCGUUGAUCAAUUAGGCGAAAUGAUGGCAUGUGUUGUCAUAAUCGUAUAAGGCGUAGCACCUUUCAUUUUGAUUUAGAAAAACACAUCUCUUUCUGUCACUUGGAGUCAACUAGUCUUCAAUAGUGAAUUCACCUGAUAGUUACGUUAUCUUGUGUAUAUACAAAGUCCCCUGCGAAAUUUAUAUUUCUAUCUCAUUGUUGCCAGUUGCGACCAACCAAAUCUCUUUGUUAGCCAUAAAUUUUCUUUACCUACUGUAGGACCCCCAAAUAUAUUCACGAUAUCUCUUGAGGGAACCCGUUCAGCUUUUGACAGCAAGAAAUAGAAGGAGCGAGAAACAGCAUAUUUGCAUGCAAUAAAAUAAGACAGCCCAAGUUUCACAAGGUCUUUGGAAGUCCAAUCAGUACUUAUAAAGAACAAAAUAACGUUCAAAGGCUCUGAUAAAAAAUAAUAAUAAUAAAUAACGCUCAAAGGCAAUUGCAAUGCAAGUACCUGAGUUUCCUGCAAACGAAAGAAAUGGUCAUAUCAAAAGCCUCGCUGUUUGACUGUCCAGGGCUGAGCUGCCCCCGCGUGUGGGGUUGUGGACUUGUGGUUAUGAUCCCGUCCGGUUAGCACUUCUUCCAGUUCCUGUCCAAUCGGUUUGUUGUCCUUUUUUGUGGGUUUUUAAGCAAUAAUCCCUGUUUGACUUUGACUGCAUACUGGUACGUGGGCCAUUAAUUUGUUUGGAUUUGAAAAAUCAUGAUAAAUCACAUGAGGUCACACAAGCAAAUUGAUAGAGUAGAUAAAUAUUAGUUAUUAUUUUAGUACCGAAUUAAGUUAAUGCGAUUAGGUGAAUAAUGUAGUAUAUUGUUUUUUAUAAUUUUUUGAUAUUUUUUAUGUUAAUUAAAAUCAAUUAUGAUAUGUAUUUUAAUCACUUAUUUCUAUUAUAAUUGUAAUUUACUUUCUCUUUUUAAGUUGACUAUGAAAGUAGGUUGAUGUUAUUAUAAAUAAAGAGAUCUUAUUAUUGUUUUUAUAACUCAAUUAUAAAAAAGAAAAAAAAAUCUCUUUUUAUAAUUCUCUUUGGGAUAAUCUAUCAAAAUAUCUCUUAUAAAACCAUUUAAAUUAGAAUAUCAUCUAAUAUCGCUUAAAGCAUUAUCAAAAUAUCACUAAGUCAUUUGGAUUAUGAUGAGAUUUAAUCACAUUUUGAUUAGAGAAUAAUUUUAUCAUGUUGGCUAGGUCUGGUACUAGAACGAUAUCUAAUGUUUAUCCACCCCACCAAUUUGCCUCCCCUACCCUGCUCUGUUAGAUAUGCUCUAAUAAAAAAGUGAUCAAAUCUCAUUCUAAUCCAAACAACUCAUUAAAUAAGAUUAUAUGAUACUUUAAUCCAGACGUCUCUCCCAAGAGAGAUUUUUGUUAGACAAUCCUAGAAUGAAUUUUUUUUUAAAAAAAAUAAUUUUUAUUAGUCAAAAUAUUGUGAAAAUAAUAACAAUAUCUUCUUAUUCAUAAUAAGGUAAAGUGGUAAACCUACUAAACUACCUCAGAAGAAAAAUUAAAUCACAAUUAUAUUGGAAGUAAAAGACUAAAGCAUGUACCAUAAUUGACUAUAAUUAAAAUCAAAAAUCAAAAAGACCUAAAAUAAAAAAUUUUAAAAUCCUAAAAUAACAUCCCACAUCACUAUAGUAAAGAAAUUCUAAAAACUAAUGUGAACCUAUGAAACAAUGCAAUCUAUCUUUGGAGUAAGUAAAGGGUCCAUAUUAAGAGAAGUUCUAGAGUAUAUUAGAGGCAAUACAACUAACUAAUGCAUAUAUGACGUGUGUUGUUGAAUU